Gallus gallus (chicken) is the source of this 164-nucleotide small nuclear RNA. Its record names the gene U2. It matches the Rfam family "U2 spliceosomal RNA". Rfam says of the family: U2 is a small nuclear RNA (snRNA) component of the spliceosome (involved in pre-mRNA splicing). NCBI's taxonomy places the organism in Eukaryota, Metazoa, Chordata, Aves, Galliformes, Phasianidae. The record is from Ensembl.
AUCCCUUCUCAGCAGUUUAGCUCAAGUCAAGUGUAGUAUCCACUCUUAUCCAGUUAAUAUCAGGCAUAUCUUCGGUUUGAGGAUUUUAUAUUAGAUAGGUGUGGGGAUUGCAAGAUGGACUCCGAGUUUGCUCUCUGUCUUGACCUGUCAGUACAGCACCUCAA